UUAGCGGCGGACGGGUGAGUAACACGUGAGUAGCCUGCCUUAGACAUUGGGAUAGCCUCGGGAAACCGGGAUUAAUACCAAAUAAAAUCAUAAUGACACAUGUCAUAACGAUCAAAACUCCGGUGGUCUAAGAUGGACUCGCGUCCCAUUAGCUAGUUGGUAGAGUAAAAGCCUACCAAGGCGACGAUGGGUAGCCGGCCUGAGAGGGCGAACGGCCACAUUGGAACUGAGAAACGGUCCAA
Molecule: ribosomal RNA, 242 nt
Filed under: uncultured Eubacteriales bacterium
Lineage: Bacteria; Bacillati; Bacillota; Clostridia; Eubacteriales
Description: uncultured Clostridiales bacterium partial 16S ribosomal RNA
Rfam family: Bacterial small subunit ribosomal RNA
Source: RNAcentral